GGCUUGGUGGCACUCGGAGUGCAUCUGCUCCUUAUUCGUGUGCCAGACAGUGGUGUUGCAGAAGAAGCCCGUUCAACUCGGGCCCAGGCCA
Mycena galericulata is the source of this 91-nucleotide non-coding RNA. NCBI's taxonomy places the organism in Eukaryota, Fungi, Basidiomycota, Agaricomycetes, Agaricales, Mycenaceae. The record is from the annotation of a GenBank genome assembly.